AACGCGAAGAACCUUACCCAGACUUGACAUAUAGUAGACCGAUCCAGAAAUGGGUCUUUCCUUCGGGACUGCUAAACAGGUGCUGCAUGGCUGUCGUCAGCUCGUGCCGUGAGGUGUUGGGUUAAGUCCCGCAACGAGCGCAACCCUUAUCAUUAGUUGCCAACAUUUAAGGUGGGAACUCUAAUGAGACUGCCUGGGUUAACCAGGAGGAAGGUGAGGAUGACGUCAAGUCCGCAUGGCCCUUAUGUCUGGGGCUACACACGUGCUACAAUGGUCGGUACAAAAGGCAGCGAAGCCGCGAGGUGCAGCAAAUCCCGAAAACGGCCCCAGUUCAGAUUGUAGUCUGCAACUCGACUACAUGAAGAUGGAAUUGCUAGUAAUGGCGAGUCAGCAACAUCGCCGUGAAUACGUUCCCGGGCCUUGUACACACCGGUACUA
Molecule: ribosomal RNA, 438 nt
Filed under: uncultured bacterium
Lineage: Bacteria
Description: bacterial SSU rRNA
Rfam family: Bacterial small subunit ribosomal RNA
Source: RNAcentral